Molecule: non-coding RNA, 46 nt
Organism: Sarcophilus harrisii (Tasmanian devil)
Lineage: Eukaryota; Metazoa; Chordata; Mammalia; Dasyuromorphia; Dasyuridae
Source: Rfam
UGUCAGGUCCUUUUAAGGACCACUCUCUUUUUUUUUAACUUACACU